This is a long non-coding RNA of Homo sapiens (human), 5766 nucleotides long. RefSeq lists it as uncharacterized. Lineage: Eukaryota; Metazoa; Chordata; Mammalia; Primates; Hominidae. The record is from RefSeq and is a predicted model, not a curated record. The transcript is spliced from 2 exons.
CCCAAAGUGUUGGGAUUACAGACAUGAGCCACCACGCCCAGCCACAUUUUCCAUUUCUAUAAAAUGAGUGUAACAGUUUCUUGCAGUUGGUUGUGGAGUUUAAGUGAGGUAAUUUUUACAAAAAAGAGUGCUCUCCAAAUGUUUAUAAAUUAAAAGAAAAAUAUCUUCUAGCUCAGGGCUUCCCAAGCUUCUCUCAAGAAAGUACCACCUCCUAGUUUUUUGUCAAUUCCAUGUGUAUCCUUAGUAUUACUUUUUAUUGAUUGAUUUUCCUCAAACAUAUUAACUUGUUUACUUAGAUGGUCACUGUAGCUUUAUCCUAAGCAAUACCUAAAUACAAUAAAAUUGCAGAUUUUUGUCCUACUGAUAUUUUACUGCACAUUAAAAUAUGUAAUUAUAUUAGUUUCAACACCAGAGGGAAAAAAAAGAAAAAAGAAAUUAAAAAAAUGUAAAAAAAAGCCCAGGCGCGGUGGCUCAUGCCUGGAAUCCCAGCACUUUGGGAGGCCGAGGCGGGCGGAUCACCUGAGGUCGAGAGUUCGAGACCAGCCUGACCAACAUGGAGAAACCCCAUCUCUACUAAAAAUACAUAACUAGCCGGGCGUGGUGGCACAUGCCUGUAAUCCCAGCUACUAGGAAGGCUAAGGCAGGAGAAUUGCUUGAACCCUGGAAGCGGAGGUUGCAGUGAGCCGAGAUCGCACCAUUGCACUCCAGCCUGGGCAACAAGAGUGAAACUGUCUCCAAAAAAAAAAAAAAAAAAGUAAAAAAAUAUUUAAUUACUAAAACAAAAUCUAUAUAUUUCCCAAAAUAUUCUCUAAUAUGUCCAUGGUUGGUAGAUAUUACAGAGCUUAGAAAAGUUUUGCUAGUUGAGAGCAGAGGCUCAAACCUGAAGUUAGUGGUGUUCUCCUUGCCGAUAUUGUUUCAUUGUUAUUUUUAUUAACUUUUUUCUUUUUAAAAACAUUUUUUAUAGCAUUUAACAAUUUUUUAAUUUUUAUUUUUUUAAAACAAGGUCUCGCUCUGUCACCCAGGCUGGCGUGCAAGGGCACGAUCACAGCUCAUUUGCAGCCUCGACUUCCCUGGCUUAAACUAGCCUCCACCUCAGCCUGCUGAGUAGCUGGGACCACAGUCAAGUGCCACCAUGCCCAGCUAAUUUUUAUAUUUUUUGUAGAGAUGGGGUUUCGUUACAUUGCCCAGGCUAAUCUUAAACUCCUGAACUCAAGCAGUUCACCUGCCUUGGCCUCCCAAAGUGCUGGGAUGACAGGCGUGGGCCACCGUGCCCGGUCAACUUUUUCAUUUACUUUCAGAUAAGCUGCUUGGCAUGCACACAAAUCCUGAGUAUGAAACUCCCUUAAAAUCCAUUUUUAGCUACUCAAACACAUGAAUUUUCUGCCACUAAAAUUUUUAGUACACACGCCACAAGCAUACCUCCAUAGAUCUCACAAGUGCCUCUCAAUAAACAAAAGGGGCAGAGAGGACAGAACGGGUAAACGAGAGGCAUGAACAGGAACCAAAUCCCAAAGAAAAGGCUGAUUGAAUUCUAGAGACUGAGAUCCCAGGGAAAUCGUACGAGGGUCCAGGUAAGAAGAGGGUAAGAUCAGAAUUACAGGGUGCAGCCAGGCGCGGUAGCUCACAUCUGUAAUCCCAGCACUUUGGGAGUCCGAGGCUGGUGGAUUGCUUGAGCUCAGAAGUUCAUGGUUCUACCAUGUUGCUCAGACCAGCCUGGGCAACAUGGUAAGACCUCAUCUCUAUUUUAAAAAAAAAAUUAAUAAAAUAAGUACAGGGUGGGAAGACACAAUGCUGUUCCAGUUAUCUGUAGCUGUAUAACACAUCACCCCAAAACUCAGUGACUCAGAACAACAGUGCUUUUAGUAUCUCUGUGGGUCAGGAAAUCGGUGGUGGGCUCAGCUGGGUGGUUAGGCUCAGGGUCUCUUCUGUGCUGACUAGAGCUGGAUCUCCAGGUGACUGAAACAGCUGGGGCCCACCCACCAGCUCUCUCUUCUCAUGCUGUCUCAGGUCCUCUCCGUGUGUCGUGGGCUAGGUGGGGCUCCCUCACAACAUGGCAGCCUCUGGACAAUGGGACAGCUGAGGGGAACUGAGGCCUUCGUGCACUUAAGGGGGAGGUUGUGUCGUCUUUUCUGACCUAGCCUCAGGAGUCACGCAAUGUCCCUUCUGCCACUUUCUGUUGGAGACAAGCAAGUCACAGCCCUGCCCAGAUGCAAGGGGAUGGAAAUCCAACUCCACCUCUUGAUGAGGACCUGACACAUUUGAACAGAUCAGAUGGGAGAGUGUUGUGAUCAUCUUCAAAAACCACAGCAAGUGUGUUUGUGUGUCUGUUACCCCCUACACCGGAAGGCGUGUCGGUCACCCCCCACACUGGAAGGCGUGUCUGUCACCCCCUACACUGGAAAGUGUGUCUGUCACUCCCCACACUGGAAGGUGUGUCUGUCACCCCCCCACACUGGAAGGUGUGUCCGUCACCCCCACACUGGAAGGCGUCUCUGUCACCCCCCACACUGGAAGGUGUGUCUGUCAACACCCACACUGGAAGGCGUGUCCGUCACCCCCACACUGGAAGGCGUGUCCGUCACCCCCACACUGGAAGGUGAGACCUUCAAGGACAAGGACUCCAUUUCCUCUCAGUGUCCCUUGUGCCCACACGAGACCUGAUACGUAGUCAGUGCUCAGUAUUUAUGGAAGACUCUAUUGGUGGCCCAGAAAAGGCUCACAGAAGAGAUAAGCUUGGUUGUGCUGAAACCACACCCCCUCACUACCCUGUUAUAGCACCAAGAGGCGGGUGGGAGCUGAGUCCUGGGAACCUGCGAAAGGCUUGCAGAAUCCCCCAGCACCUGUGUCUAAGAAGAUGGGCAGUGGUAGGAGGCAGGAGCCAGGUGUGAAAGGCUUGCAGAGUCUCCCGGCGCCUGUGUCUAAGAAGAUCGGGCAGUGGUGGGAGGCAGGAGCCAGGUGUGAAAGGCUUGCAGUCUCCCGGCGCCUGUGUCUAAGAAGAUCGGGCAGUGGUGGGAGGCAGGAGCCAGGUGUGAAAGGCUUGCAGAGUCUCCCGGCGCCUGUGUCUAAGAAGAUCGGGCAGUGGUGGGAGGCAGGAGCCAGGUGUGAAAGGCUUGCAGAGUCUCCCGGCGCCUGUGUCUAAGAAGAUGGGCAGUGGUGGGAGGCAGGAGCCAGGUGUGAAAGGCUUGCAGAGUCCCCUGGCGCCUGUGUCUAAGAAGAUGGGCAGUGGUAGGAGGCAGGAGCCAGGUGUGAAAGGCUUGCAGAGUCCCCCGGCGCCUGUGUCUAAGAAGAUGGGCAGUGGUGGGAGGCAGGAGCCAGGUGUGAAAGGGGACCAGCUCUUCAGCCAGGUAACAAUGGUGGGCAUCUCGCUCCCACAUACCAAUGGUCUGUUUAGUACUGCAGGGACACUGCAGUCCAUAUCCCAGGGACAAGUGUUCUGUAUCCUCCCGUGACAUCUGUUGGGAACGUGGAGAUCAGCCCUUGGGUUCAUCUCCACCUGCCUCCCUUUGUUCUCCCAGCCCUGAUCAGUCACCUGGUUCCAGGGAUUCUAACGUGUAAAUCUCACUCGAAUCUCUCCUUUCGUGUCCAUUCACAUUGCUUCUGUCCAAACUUGGGAUGCCCCUGGUUCCCCGCUCUCCUGCCAUCACUCCUUCUGCAAACUCGCCCCUCUUGGACCUAAGCCUGACAUGUGGCUCUUCUCUCCACACUCUGUCUUUUGAGGGGCUAUCUAACCCCGCUAGAAAUGAUAGCCAAGUCAGGUGUCUAUUCCAGAGCCCUUACGCAGGUAUUCCCCUGAUGGCAAAUACACCUCUGGACAUCCCACAUGUUAAGUUAAAUGAGCAUUUAAUUUCCCCUUCCCACCAGCUCCUCAUCUUGGGUUUCCCUUUCGGGGGGAUCCCAGAACCACCUGUUUGCUUUUUUUUUUCACCACUAUCUGCAACAGAUAAUCCAUCGCAAAACAGGUGGCUCCGGAUUUUUCCAGUGCUUCUCAAACAUUUCUUCUGCUUCAUCAACAGCCCUUCCCUGAACUCAGGACACAAUCGUCACACGACUGGAUGUCAGGGAUCAAGCCCUGGGUGACCUGCCCACUGGUCCCUGCCACCAGGGGCUGCCCCUAUAUCUGUCUCCACACUAACUGCCAGAAUGAUAUGAAAUUUGAAUCAUGCCACACCCAUGUUUAAAUCUCCUCAGUGUCUCCCCCGUUUUUCUGCAUCUUAAAAUACGUGUCUGUGGAUAUGUGUAUAUACAAUAUAUAUAAUGCAUGUAUGUAUAUAUGUAUACACGCACACACCUGAAAAAUGUAAGGACAUGCACUACAUAUUAAAAAUACAGGCUGAGCACAGUGGCUUACUCUGUAAUCCCAGCACUUUGGUUGGGAGGCUAAGGUGGGAGGAUCACUUGAGCUCAGGAGUUCAAGACCAACCUGGGCAACAUGACAGAACUCUGUCUCUACAAAAACCACAAAAGAUUAGCCGGGUGUGGUGGUGUGCACCCAUAAUCCCAGCUACUCAGGAGGCCGAGGAGGGAGGAUUGCUUGAGCCCAGGAGGUCAAGGCUGCAGUGAGCUAUGAUCGCACCACUGCACUCCAGCCUGGGCAACAGAGUAAGACCCUGUCUCAAACAAACAAACAAAACAACAAAAAAUUUAAAAUCCUCUCUUUAUGGUGGGAUUAUGGAUGACAUAUAUUCUCCAUUAUCCUUUUUUCUGUAUUUUAAAGCAUUUCCUCCUGACUGUUCUUUCUUUUUAUUGUGUUUCUAGUUUUUUAGUGUGUGUGCAUUUUCUCUUCUGAACUUUACCAGCUACUUAACAAGUUCUAUUCAAAUAUCUCAUUAAAAGUUUCAUGGGAAUACAAUUUCCAAAUGUAUUCACUACAUGCAUGUAUGUUAUCUUCAGGAUUGGAAACAGGCAAUAAUUACUGUUUUUUAAAUAAGCCCUGAAAUAAAUCAAGUCACCCUUGAGGCCAGCAGUUAACAAAUCAUGUUUUCUGCCUCCUCAGAGUUAACUUUUUGAUGCCAGUUUAGCAGCUCAACGGGCAGAAAUAGAGCCAGGUGCUUUGGGACUCAUUAAAACCACCCUAACAACCCUCCUAGGGACCCUGAGAAUAGACGACACCAUGUUUUUCAUCCGUCCAGGUAGGCUGUGUAAUUAUGAUCAGUUUAUUCAACCCAUCUCAGGGCUGGCAAGAAAAACAGCUUCUUUGAGGGAGAAAAAAAAAAAGCCAAAGGGAAAAACCACGUUGGGUCACAGGCAAGAGGGGUUUGGGAAUUAAUCAACGUGGACCCGUUAGAGGGAGUGAAACAGUGAGAUGGCAGGUGGAGAGUUGCACUGGGCUACGGCACAGAGUCGGCCUGUGAGCACUGAGGCAGGUUGGGUUUUUUGUUUUUCUGUUUGCUCGUGGGCAGCAGCGGGCGGCAGACUUUCUAAUUCUCUGUGGCUGACUGGGCAAAGUCUUCCCUACCACAGGCAAAUCCAUAGCUUCCCUCCCCACUCCCCACCUUGUGCGCUCAGCCGGCUAUUGUCCACGCUUUGCUCAAUAUUGACGUUCUUGGAAUUGUAGGUUAUAUAUCACUUUGUGUAUUUUUUGGACUAUCUAAAUAUUAUUCAAAAGCUUUCCUAACUAAAAUGGAAGUUCCUUUCCUGUUUCCAAUGGGAGCAGCUUUAAAAAUGCAGAAAGCCUGUGAAAAUGUCAGAACACGACAAAUCAUAAACUGAUAACGUGCCAUUUACUGUACCUCACUUAUUCCUAAAUAAAAUUGUAAUAAGAAAAUA